AUGGUUAAGUGACUAAGCGUAUACGGUGGAUGCCUUGGCAGUCAGAGGCGAUGAAGGACGUAGUAACUUGCGAAAAGCGUUGGCGAGCUAGUAACAAGCAUUUGAGCUAACGAUGUCCGAAUGGGGAAACCCACUCACAUAAGUGAGUAUCAUAUACUGAAUACAUAGGUAUAUGAGGCAAACCCGGGGAACUGAAACAUCUAAGUACCCGGAGGAACAGAAAUCAACCGAGAUUCCCCUAGUAGCGGCGAGCGAACGGGGAUUAGCCCUUAAGUCUAUGGGGUGUUAGUGGAAUGAGUUGGAAAGCUCAGCGGCACAGGGUGAUAGCCCCGUACAUGAAAACUAACCAUAGAUGAAAACGAGUAGGACGGGACACGUGACAUCUUGUCUGAACAUGGGGGGACCAUCCUCCAAGGCUAAAUACUCCUGACUGACCGAUAGUGAACCAGUACCGUGAGGGAAAGGCGAAAAGAACCCCUGUGAGGGGAGUGAAAUAGAACCUGAAACCGUAUACGUACAAGCAGUGGGAGCGGUUCCAUUCUUCGGAAUAAGAGACCGUGACUGCGUACCUUUUGUAUAAUGGGUCAGCGACUUACAUUUUGUAGCGAGGUUAAGCGAAUAGCGGAGCCGUAGGGAAACCGAGUGUUAACUGCGCGUAUCUUUAAUUAGAGAAGUUGCAAGGUGUAGACCCGAAACCCGGUGAUCUAUC
RNAcentral lists this ribosomal RNA (709 nucleotides) under Shewanella benthica KT99. Its description in RNAcentral is "bacterial LSU rRNA". It matches the Rfam family "Bacterial large subunit ribosomal RNA", at positions 1 to 734 of the family's 2925-position model. Lineage: Bacteria; Pseudomonadati; Pseudomonadota; Gammaproteobacteria; Alteromonadales; Shewanellaceae. The record is from RNAcentral.